Molecule: ribosomal RNA, 270 nt
Filed under: uncultured archaeon
Lineage: Archaea
Description: partial 16S ribosomal RNA
Rfam family: Archaeal small subunit ribosomal RNA
Source: RNAcentral
CUGCAGCCCGAGUGGUGAUCGAUUUGAUUGAGCCUAAAGCGUCCGUAGCCGGACUAGUAAACCCUUGGGUAAAUUGGGCAGCUUAACUGUCCAAAUUCCGAGGGGACUGCUAGUCUUGGGACCGGGAGAGGUCAGAGGUACUCAAGGGGUAGGGGCUAAAUCCUGUAAUCCUUUGGGGACCACCAGUGGCGAAGGCGUCUGACUAGAACGGAUCCGACGGUAAGGGACGAAACCCUGGGGCGCGAACCGGAUUAGAGACCCGCGUAGUCC